AACGAACGCUGGCGGCAUGCCUAACACAUGCAAGUCGAACGAAGUCUUCGGACUUAGUGGCGCACGGGUGCGUAACGCGUGGGAAUCUGCCCUUGGGUGCGGAAUAACUUCUCGAAAGGGAUGCUAAUACCGCAUAAUGUCGUAAGACCAAAGAUUUAUCGCCCAAGGAUGAGCCCGCGUAAGAUUAGCUAGUUGGUGGGGUAAAAAGCCUACCAAGGCGACGAUCUUUAGCUGGUCUGAGAGGAUGAUCAGCCACACUGGGACUGAGACACGGCCCAGACUCCUACGGGAGGCAGCAGUGGGGAAUAUUGGACAAUGGCGAAAGCCUGAUCCAGCAAUGCCGCGUGAGUGAUGAAGGCCCAGGGUUGUAAAGCUCUUUUACCAGGGAGUAGAUAAAUGACAGUACCUGGAGAAUAAGACUCCGGCUAAACUCCGUGCCAGACAGCCGACGGUAAU
This 456-nucleotide ribosomal RNA is filed under the name uncultured bacterium. Its description in RNAcentral is "bacterial SSU rRNA". It matches the Rfam family "Bacterial small subunit ribosomal RNA", at positions 29 to 524 of the family's 1533-position model. The record is from RNAcentral.